UACCACUCAGUGAUGGAGGGAGACUGUGC
Molecule: non-coding RNA, 29 nt
Filed under: Homo sapiens (human)
Lineage: Eukaryota; Metazoa; Chordata; Mammalia; Primates; Hominidae
Source: RNAcentral